AGUAAAAGCAGCUGUCAAUCACGUGUCAUGUUUGGAGGUGAAGAUGGCGACUAAUGAUGUUUUCCUCAUCACUAAUUCAUGACCUCUGACCUUCUCGGAGACCCCACUGCUCUCCACAGGAUCCCCAAUCUGCUCCAAGCUUGUCAAUCUGCUGCUUAGUUUCUACUAAAACUGUCAUUUGUAAAUGUUUUUGUUCUCUAUUGCCGCCAUUUAUUGUACUUUUCUUCCUGCGACUUAACUUUGUCACUUGUUUGUGUUGCCUUCAGGUGUCCUUCGUAAAGUCUGGAAUAUUACAAAUGAUUUCACAUAUUUGACCGUUGGCAUUGUGUCAAAAUGUGUACAUUUUGUUCAGGACCUCUAAAAAUGUGGACAAUUUCUGUUAUUUUACGGUAACUAAACAUAUUUUUGUCUCGAGAUUAUACAUUUGAGUGCAUUUAAUUUGCUACGAUUCCAACAUUUGUGAAAAUAACCCUUCUUUGUGUAAGUGAUUACGAAACGGUUUUGCGUGUUUUUCAAUCAGACAAAUUGUGCUGUUUUCAUGAAUGAACAUUUUAAUGAUGUUUUGUUGCUCGACAUAUUGUUGAACCUUAAGAAAAUGACUUUCCAAAAUAAAAGCGAGAUGACCUGUGGUCCCUGAACGCCUCACGCCUGGAGCGGGAGGGUUUGGGGGCGUGGCCAGUUAGCGGACCUGAUGUGGGACUUUUCCUCCUCAGCAGAUUUCAUCACCAACACGCAGACAAGUCUUCUUUAUUGUUGUUGUUUAUUGUUGUUGUUUAUUGUUGCGACACAGGAACAAUUAGCCGCCAUGUCGCUUCUUCAUCCGACGGAGAGACAGCUCAGGCAGGCGAGGCAGGUGAGACAACCUCCCCCCUGGAAGGACGAACUGGCCGACAUGUCCCAGCACAUUUACGAUGAUGGAAGCAACAAGGUGGGUGGAGCGACGUACUUGAGAAGGAGUCGACUGAAAAGAUCUGACGGCAGCACCACGUCCACCAGUUUCAUCCUCAGACAAGGUUCUGCAGACUCCUACAUGAGCCGACCCUCGGACUUGGAGGUGUCUGUGGAGGAGGACCAGGAGGACCAGGAGGACCAGGAGGACCAGAGGCAGCAGGCCGCCCUCCAACUGGAGAGGGCAAAGACCAAAGCCGUGGCCUUCGCCGUCAGGACAAACAUCAGCUACUGUGGCGCUCUUGACGAGGACGUCCCUGUGGGCGGGACCGCCGUCUCCUUUGAUGCCAAGGACUUCCUCCACAUCAAAGAGAAGUACAACAAGGAGUGGUGGAUGGGGCGUCAGGUGAAGGAAGGAAGUGAGGUGGGCUUCAUUCCAAGUCCUCUCAAGCUGGAGAACAUGCGAGUGCAGCAGGAGCAGAAGAGAGGGAACUCCUCCUCCAGUCUGGGAGACAUGGUGUCAGCUCCCUUUAAGAGCAAUGCCAGCAAUGCAGGGAAGCACAAACUCAAAAUGGCUGAGCAGGGGCCCCCCUAUGACGUGGUCCCCUCCAUGAGGCCGGUGGUCCUGGUGGGUCCGUCCCUGAAAGGUUACGAGGUGACGGACAUGAUGCAGAAGGCGCUCUUCGACUUCCUCAAGCACAGGUUUGAUGGCAGGGUCUCCAUCACCCGGGUGACGGCCGACAUAUCGCUGGCCAAGAGGUCGCUGCUCAACAACCCAGGGAAGCGGUCCGUCAUUGAGAGGUCCACUGUCAGCUGCAGCCUUGCCGAGGUGCAGAGCGAGAUCGAGCGCAUCUUUGAGCUGGCCCGCUCCCUGCAGCUGGUGGUUCUGGACGCCGACACCAUCAACCACCCGGCUCAGCUCCUCAAGACCUCCCUGGCGCCCAUCAUCAUCCACGUCAAAGUGUCCUCGCCCAAGGUCCUGCAGCGUCUGAUCAAGUCUCGAGGAAAGUCUCAAAGCAAACACCUGAACGUGCAGCUGGUGGCGGCCGAGAAGCUUUCCCAGUGUCCGUCGGAAAUGUUUGACAUCAUCCUGGACGAGAACCAGCUGGAGGACGCCUGCGAGCAUCUGGCCGAGUACUUGGAGGCGUACUGGAGGGCCACGCACGCCUCGCCCGGGGCUGCGCCCAACCCCCUGCUGGGGCGCAACCUGGGCUCCACCGCGCUCUCGCCGUAUCCCGCCGUCUUCCAGGCCCAAAGGAACCAGCACAGCAACCGUUCAACCGGAGAACUGGCCCAGGUGGAUCAUGGCGGCCUGAUGCCGGCGGACCAGAACUUCCACAACGAGCGGACGAGGAGCAACCGCCUGUCAUCCGGCUCGCAGCACAGCCAAGACCACCUGCCUCUGAUGGAGGAGGACCCUUACCAGGACUCGUACAGGCCUCAUCGGAAUCAGGACUGCAGACACAGGCUGUGAUGCUAACUUGGACUCUAUGGACCGUGACCAACAAGGGUCUUGUCCAUGUGGACUGCGACCAACAUGGACUGUGACCAACAAAGGUCUUGUCCAUGUGGUCCGUGACCAACAAGGGUCUUGUCCAUGUGGACCGUGACCAACAUGGACUGUGACCAACAAGGAUCUUGUCCAUGUGGACCGUGACCAACAUGGACCGUGACCAACAAGGGUCUUGUCCAUGUUGAUCGUGACCAACAAGGGUCUUGUCCAUGUUGACCGCGACCAACAUGGGUCUUGUCCAUGUGGACCGCGACCAACAUGGACCGUGACCAACAAGGAUCUUGUCCAUGUGGACCGUGACCAACAUGGACUGUGACCAACAAGGGUCUUGUCCAUGUGGACCGUGACCAACAUGGACCGUGACCAACAAGGGUCUUGUCCAUGUUGACCGCGACCAACAUGGGUGUUGUCCAUGUGGACCGCGACCAACAUGGACCGUGACCAACAAGGGUCUUGUCCAUGUGGUUCGUGACCAACAAGGGUCUUGUCCAUGUAGACCGCAACCAACAUUGGUCUUGUCCAUGUGGACCGUGACCAACAAGAGUCUUGUCCAUGUGGACCGCAACCAACGUGGGUCUUGUCCAUGUGGACCGCGACCAACAUGGGCUGUGACCAACAAGGGUCUUGACCAUGUGGACUGUGACCAACAUGGACCGUGACCAACAAGGGUCUUGUCCAUGUUGACCGCGACCAACAUGGGUCUUGUCCAUGUGGACCGCGACCAACAUGGACCGUGACCAACAAGGGUCUUGUCCAUGUGGACCGCGACCAACAAGAAGGGUCUUGUCCAUGUGGACUGCGACCAACAAGAAGGGUCUUGUCCAUGUGGACCGCGACCAACAUGGGUCUUGUCCAUGUCCCCCAGUGAAGGUAGCACACGUUUGAACCAGGAACUGCAAGCGCUCCACACGGCAACGUGUUGGCCUUCUGGGAACCUGCAGAACCGUAGCAUGUUGACCAGACCAGAACCAGUUUGCCUUUGUCCAGGACUCCGUAGAACCCACACGACCUAAAAACUCUUCCUUAUUGGUCCAACAUGGCGUCAGUCCUCUUAACGCCUCUCAGGACUCCAUUGUUGUCUUCAGGACCAGCAGAACCUCAUCCAGAUCUUUCAGUCCUGCUACAUCCUAGACCUGAGUGAUGUUUCCCACCUGCUCCAAACCUCACUAACCAGUCCCAAUAGUUUGGUUCUGCAAACAUUUGUCUUUUAGGUUAUUAACGUUUUAUGUUUUGGGUGGGUGGGUUUAAUGAGGAUUAAUAACAUGUUAAUUACACCUUAAUAACAUCAAACGUUGAUAAAACGAUAAUAGUUAGACCAAAAAUGUUUGCAGCACAAAUGUAGCUCCAACAAAUAGAAGAAGUUUGGGAGUUUGGAGGAUUCUGCUUGAAAUGUUGACAAUGCUGUUUAUUUUGUGGGUAAAAGUUUGCAAUGUAAAGCUGAAAAAUGGCCUUCAACGCUAAUAUUAGCAUUUUCAUAACAAGCACAGCAGCAAUUAGUAUUUGUGUUAUUAUUUACUGAGGUACAGUACAGUUGGAUUAGUUUAUGCCUCUUCUCUCACAGAAUGUGUGAAGAAUGGCGUUUCCUCCAUGUGAAGCCCUGAUAAGUCCAACAGAGGAACAGAUGAUGCAGUAUUAUAUGCUGCCUGGUGGUUGUUCAAGCACAAUGCAGCUAGUCCACUCCUUAAUGAUUGAGUCACACGCAGGAUUCUCACAGGUAUGAGGCAAAAACUACUAUUGAAAAAAACCCAAAUAUCAGUAAAGUUAUCUAUUUUGGACCACAUCGUAGAAAAUAAAACAUUAAAAAGACAAUACUAGAACAUCGAAAAAGUAUAAUCCUACUCAUUUCACAAUAAAGUCAUAAUGUAUGAACAAUAUGUUCAUCAUUUUAGGAGAAUAAAGUCAUUUUUAGAACCACAGGACAAUACAUUCGUUCGGCAAGAAUAAAGUUGUAAUACUAAGGAAAAAAGUCAUAAUUGAAUGAGAAUGAAGUCGUCCACUACUAGAAAAACGAGGUUCAAAUUAAGUUAAAAAACAUAAUUUUCGGAAAAUAAAGUGUUAAAAUAUAACAAGAUUGAAAUUCC
Molecule: RNA transcript, 4482 nt
Organism: Nerophis lumbriciformis (worm pipefish)
Lineage: Eukaryota; Metazoa; Chordata; Actinopteri; Syngnathiformes; Syngnathidae
Gene: cacnb4a
Gene name: calcium channel, voltage-dependent, beta 4a subunit
Source: RefSeq, a predicted model, not a curated record